RNAcentral lists this ribosomal RNA (442 nucleotides) under uncultured bacterium. Its description in RNAcentral is "partial 16S ribosomal RNA". It matches the Rfam family "Bacterial small subunit ribosomal RNA", at positions 338 to 795 of the family's 1533-position model. The record is from RNAcentral.
CCUACGGGAGGCAGCAGUGGGGAAUAUUGGGCAAUGGUGGCAACCCUGACCCAGCAACGCCGCGUGAAUGAUGAAGGUCUUCGGAUUGUAAAGUUCUGUGAGUGGGGAUGAACACAAUGACGGUACCCCAAUGGCAAGUCAAGGCUAACUACGUGCACGCAGCCGCGGUAAUCCGUAGGUGGCGAGCGUUAUCCGGAGUGACUGGGCCAAAAGGUUGAGUAGGGGGAGGCAAAGGGCGGGGGGAAAAUUGCGGGGUUCAACCCCGCUCGGCCGUUGAGACUGGGUCUCUUGAGUGCGCGAAGGGUAGGCGGAAUGCGUGGUGUAGCGGUGAAAUGCAUAGAUAUCGCGAAGAACUCCGAUCGCGAAGGCAGCCUGCCGGCUCGAAACUGACGCUCAUGCACGAAAGCGUGGGUAUCGAACAGGAUUAGAUACCCUUGUAGUC